Long non-coding RNA from Trichechus manatus latirostris (Florida manatee), 1224 nucleotides. RefSeq lists it as uncharacterized. The transcript is spliced from 3 exons. NCBI's taxonomy places the organism in Eukaryota, Metazoa, Chordata, Mammalia, Sirenia, Trichechidae. The record is from RefSeq and is a predicted model, not a curated record.
UUUUAAAUCGAGUUGUCUUUUUAUUAUUGACUUAUAAGAGUUCUUUAUAUAUUUUAGAUACAAGUCCCUUAUCAGAUAUUUCCCCCAUUAAGUGGGUUCUUUUCACUUUCUUGGUAGCAUCCAUUGAAGCACAAACGUUUUCAAUUUUUAAUUUUGAUGAAGUCCAGUUUACUUAUUUUUUCUUUGGUUGCUUAUGCUUUUGAUUAUUGCCAAAUCCAAAGUUAUGAAGAUUACCCCUGUUUUCUUCUGAGAUUUUUAUAGUUUUAGCUCUUACGUUUAGAUCUUUGAUCCAUUUUCAGUUAAUUUGUGUAUGUGGUGUGAGGUAAGUGUCCAACUUCAUUUGCAUGUAGCUACCGAGUUGUCCCAGCACCACUUGAUGAAAAGUCUAUUCUCCUCCCAUUUGAUGGUUUUGGCACCCUUGUUGAAAAUCAAUUGACCAAAGAAGUAUAUGUUUAUUCCUGGACUAUCAACUCUAUUCCAUUGAUAUAUUGUAUUUUUAUACAAGUAAUGCAUGCCUUCUGCAUUUGUUUGUUGGUUGUGCCCUCCCCCGAUGAGAUAUUUUUGUAAACGUGCUAUGCUAAUUUUCUUUUACAGCAACAUGUGGAAGAAGAUUGGCAUGGUGGUGCUUGUGAGGGUGCCUGGCGGGGAGGGAGCGUGGAGACGGAGCGGCCAGCAAACAAAUGUAGAAGCUCCAUCCAUAUUGUAGCAUGUAUCAAGACUUCAUUUCUCCUAUUGGCUGAGGAGUAGUCCGUUGUACGAAGAAGAGGAUGAAGAACAGGACAGGACCCCAAGGAACACAAAAAUGAGAGGAUUGUGCAAGAAGAGGAGAACAAGGCAAUUGUUGCCAUUAAAGCAUUGUAUUUACUUUCACUUAUGAACGUACUGCUUCAUUUGUUUAUCAUAAAACUAUUUUCAAAGCCUUCUGUCUUCAUUCUGGAAAAGACUAUAAGCCAUUUUAUCCUCUCCAUCCAAUGUUGAAAGCAGCCUGGGUACAGUGGAAAGAUCACCAGAAGCCCUGGUUCAGCCACUUUGUUGUGAAACUUUGGGUAAAUCAUAAUUGUGGAACUCUUAGUUUAUUCAGUAGCUAAAAGUAUAUGAGGGUUGUUUGUAGAGAAAAUUAGAGUCAUGUAUAUGAAAAUGAUCUGUAAACUGAAAAGCAUUACAUGAUACUGUUUUGGUCAUCUAAUGCUGCUAUAACAGAAAUACCACAAGUGGAUGGCCUUA